This 308-nucleotide ribosomal RNA is filed under the name Acinetobacter baumannii. RNAcentral describes it as "partial 23S ribosomal RNA". It matches the Rfam family "Bacterial large subunit ribosomal RNA", at positions 608 to 920 of the family's 2925-position model. Lineage: Bacteria; Pseudomonadati; Pseudomonadota; Gammaproteobacteria; Moraxellales; Moraxellaceae. The record is from RNAcentral.
UUGUAUAAUGGGUCAGCGACUUACAUUCAGUGGCGAGGUUAACCGGAUAGGGGAGCCGUAGAGAAAUCGAGUCCGAACAGGGCGACAGUCGCUGGGUGUAGACCCGAAACCAAGUGAUCUACCCAUGGCCAGGAUGAAGGUGCGGUAACACGCCCUGGAGGUCCGAACCCACUAAUGUUGAAAAAUUAGGGGAUGAGCUGUGGGUAGGGGUGAAAGGCUAAACAAACUUGGAAAUAGCUGGUUCUCUCCGAAAACUAUUUAGGUAGUGCCUCAAGUAUCACCACCGGGGGUAGAGCACUGUUAUGGCU